RNAcentral lists this ribosomal RNA (253 nucleotides) under uncultured bacterium. RNAcentral describes it as "partial 16S ribosomal RNA". It matches the Rfam family "Bacterial small subunit ribosomal RNA", at positions 524 to 776 of the family's 1533-position model. The record is from RNAcentral. RNAcentral also lists the same sequence under 1 other name.
UACGUAGGGUGCAAGCGUUAAUCGGAAUUACUGGGCGUAAAGCGUGCGCAGGCGGUUAUAUAAGUCAGAUGUGAAAUCCCCGGGCUCAACCUGGGCACUGCAUUUGAGACUGUAUGGCUAGAGUGUGUCAGAGGGGGGUAGAAUUCCACGUGUAGCAGUGAAAUGCGUAGAUAUGUGGAGGAAUACCGAUGGCGAAGGCAGCCCCCUGGGAUAACACUGACGCUCAUGCACGAAAGCGUGGGGAGCAAACAGG